AGCGAACGCUGGCGGCAGGCCUAAUACAUGCAAGUCGAGCGGCCGUAGCAAUACGGCAGCGGCAGACGGGAGAGUAACACGUGGGAACGUACCUUUCGGUUCGGAACAACCCAGGGAAACUUGGGCUAAUACCGGAUACGUCCGUAAGGAGAAAGAUUUAUCGCCGAAAGAUCGGCCCGCGCCUGAUUAGCUUGUUGGUGAGGUAACGGCUCACCAAGGCGACGAUCAGUAGCUGGUCUGAGAGGAUGAUCAGCCUCACUGGGACUGAGACACGGCCCAGACUCCUACGGGAGGCAGCAGUAGGGAAUAUUGGACAAUGGGCGCAAGCCUGAUCCAGCCAUGCCGCGUGAGUGAUGAAGGCCCUAGGGUUGUAGAGCUCUUUCGGCGGGGAAGAUAAUGACGGUACCCGCAGAAGAAGCCCCGGCUAACUUCGUGCCAGCAGCCGCCGUAA
RNAcentral lists this ribosomal RNA (451 nucleotides) under uncultured bacterium. Its description in RNAcentral is "partial 16S ribosomal RNA". It matches the Rfam family "Bacterial small subunit ribosomal RNA", at positions 29 to 523 of the family's 1533-position model. The record is from RNAcentral.